GAUGAACGCUGGCGGCGUGCCUAAUACAUGCAAGUCGAGCGAACAGACGAGGAGCUUGCUCCUCUGACGUUAGCGGCGGACGGGUGAGUAACACGUGGAUAACCUACCUAUAAGACUGGGAUAACUUCGGGAAACCGGAGCUAAUACCGGAUAAUAUAUUGAACCUCAUGGUUCAAUAGUGAAAGACGGUUUUGCUGUCACUUAUAGAUGGAUCCGCGCCGCAUUAGCUAGUUGGUAAGGUAACGGCUUACCAAGGCAACGAUGCGUAGCCGACCUGAGAGGGUGAUCGGCCACACUGGAACUGAGACACGGUCCAGACUCCGACGGGAGGCAGCAGUAGGGAAUCUUCCGCAAUGGGCGAAAGCCUGACGGAGCAACGCCGCGUGAGUGAUGAAGGUCUUCGGAUCGUAAAACUCUGUUAGUAGGGAAGAACAAAUGAGUAAGUAACUAUGCACGUCUUGACGGUACCUAAUCAGAAAGCCACGGCUAACUACGUG
RNAcentral lists this ribosomal RNA (497 nucleotides) under uncultured bacterium. RNAcentral describes it as "partial 16S ribosomal RNA". It matches the Rfam family "Bacterial small subunit ribosomal RNA", at positions 28 to 507 of the family's 1533-position model. The record is from RNAcentral.